Molecule: transfer RNA, 76 nt
Filed under: Acidobacteriota bacterium
Lineage: Bacteria; Pseudomonadati; Acidobacteriota
Also listed under: 2 other names
Description: Acidobacteria bacterium tRNA-Arg
Rfam family: tRNA
About the family: Transfer RNA (tRNA) molecules are approximately 80 nucleotides in length.
Source: RNAcentral
GGACCCGUAGCGUAAUGGAUAGCGCGUCAGCCUCCGGAGCUGAAGGUUGUGAGUUCGAGUCUCACCGGGUCCGCCA